GCGGAGGGAUCAUUACAGAGUCUAGCGACUCCCAAACCACUGUUAAUCUACCGUACCGUUGCCUCGGCGGGCUGCCUCUGGGAGGGGCCGCAGCUACGCCCGCCGCAGGUCUUAAAACUAUACCUAUUUUUGUGGCACUUCUGAGCAAACUUCCAAACAAUCAAAACUUUCAACAACGGAUCUCUUGGUUCUGGCAUCGAUGAAGAACGCAGCGAAAUGCGAUAAGUAAUGUGAAUUGCAGAAUUCAGUGAAUCAUCGAAUCUUUGAACGCACAUUGCGCCCGCCAUCUUGGCGGGCAUGCCUGUCUGAGCGUCAUUUCAACCCCCAAGCACCGCUUGGUGUUGGGGCACUACGGGCAACCGUAGGCCCUGAAAACUAGUGGCGGACUCGCUGAAGGUCCGGGCGUAGUAGUAAUAUCUCGCCCGCGGUCCCCAGCGCGCUCCGGCCGUUAAACUCCCCAAUCUUACAGAAGGUUGACCUCAGAUCAGGUAGGAUUACCCGCUGAACUUAAGCAUAUCAGUAAGCGGAGGAAAAGAAACCAACAGGGAUUGCCCUAGUAACGGCGAGUGAAGCGGCAACAGCUCGAAUUUGAAAUCUGGCUUCGGCCCGAGUUGUAAUCUGUAGAGGAUGCUUUGGGUGUAGGUGCCUUCCGAGUGCCCUGGAACGGGACGCCACAGAGGGUGAGAGCCCCGUAUGGUCGGUACCAAGCCUGUGUAAAGCUCCUUCGACGAGUCGGGUAGCUUGGGAAUGCUGCUCUAAGCGGGAGGUAAACUUCUUCUAAAGCUAAAUACUGGCCAGAGACCGAUAGCGCACAAGUAGAGUGAUCGAAAGAUGAAAAGCACUUUGAAAAGAGGGUCAAAUAGUACGUGAAAUUGUUGAAAGGGAAGCGCUCAUGACCAGACUUGCGCCGGGUUGAUCAUCCAGUGGUUUCCACUGGUGCACUCUGCCCGGCUCAGGCCAGCGUCGGCUGUUGCGGGGGGACAAAAGCUCUGGGAAAGUAGCUCUCUUCGGGGAGUGUUAUAGCCCUCUGCAGAAUACCCCCGCGGCGGCCGAGGUCCGCGCUCUGCAA
Molecule: unclassified non-coding RNA, 1069 nt
Filed under: Sagenomella oligospora
Lineage: Eukaryota; Fungi; Ascomycota; Eurotiomycetes; Eurotiales; Trichocomaceae
Description: sequence contains ITS1, 5.8S rRNA gene, ITS2 and 28S rRNA gene
Rfam family: Eukaryotic large subunit ribosomal RNA (bases 475-1069)
Source: RNAcentral